CUUGGGAUGACCAUCUGAUUCCACAGCCUUUUGCUAGGAUGUAGAUUCCUCCCUAUUUAAUUCAAUGACAUUUGUUUCUAUAAAUUUAAUAUAGACUACAGACUUUUGAGAACGUAUCCCAAGACACAUGAUUACCAGCACCUGGUGUUCAACCUCCUCCUGCCCUGACUGAAAGUCUCCCACCAGGAAAUGACAAAGGCUGCCAGCCUAUUCAUUCUUGAGGAAUUUGAUGUCUCUCAACUGUUAUGUGCAAGUUGGGAAAUAAACUUCCUGCCACUGAAACUCUUCAAUGAGCAAAUACAAGUUUGUUCUUUGUAUUAACAAUGAGAAAAUGAUUUUCUUAAAACCAAACAAAGUAUUGUCUGGACAAAUGUCGGUGUGUUGGAUUAUGUUCCUAAACCAUCAAACAGUAGAUGUACUUCACGUUGCAGUUUUUCAAAGAUCCAUUGAGGAUUCAAGAAAGGUGACGAGUUUCUUCAGUGCAGAGAUUAUGGACCAUUUAUCUUUGUACCCCAUCUCCCAGCAUGUAGUUCCA
This 535-nucleotide long non-coding RNA is filed under the name Equus caballus (horse). RNAcentral's name for it is "lncRNA (ENSECAG00000039527.2)". Lineage: Eukaryota; Metazoa; Chordata; Mammalia; Perissodactyla; Equidae. The record is from RNAcentral.